GAACUGCCGAGAUUGUAUGAGAUCAUGGGCUGUGGAAUCAGACAGUGGGAAUUCCAAUCCUUGCUCUAGUACAUAUUUAUUAUGAAACAGUGAACAAAUCACUUAACCUCUUACAGGCUCAGCUUUCUCAUCACUAAAUUGGAGAUACAGGUACCCCUGGAGGUAUUUUUAACUACUUCCACAGUACGUGACACAUGGAGUUGGAGACUUGGAAUCCCCUUUGGUGCAGAAACUAUUCCUUCAUGAGAAGUCCUUAAAUAGGCUCUUUAGAGAAGAGGCCACAUUUUGAAGGCAGCAGGGUCACAAGAUGGAAGAACCAGGGUCCUUGCAUCAUCGGUUGGCUUCAAGUUGCCCGGGGGCAGCCUAACCCACAUGGAAUUGUGACAUAAGAAACAAAGCAACUAUUGUUUUAUUAAAUCAAUGAGAUAUUGGGCUUCUUGUUAUAGCAACUAGUAUAAAUUGCCCUGACUGAUACAUUAUGGAUUUAGAAUGCACUGUACUACAACUGUUUGUUGUAUUUUCAAAAACAGGUUUAUUGUGGUAUAAUUGACUUACAAUAAACUUCAUAUAUUUAAAGAGUA
Non-coding RNA from Macaca mulatta (Rhesus monkey), 581 nucleotides. Lineage: Eukaryota; Metazoa; Chordata; Mammalia; Primates; Cercopithecidae. The record is from RefSeq and is a predicted model, not a curated record.